Non-coding RNA from Chlorocebus sabaeus (green monkey), 653 nucleotides. The record is from RefSeq and is a predicted model, not a curated record. Lineage: Eukaryota; Metazoa; Chordata; Mammalia; Primates; Cercopithecidae.
AUCUUUCAUAUUGUUUAUGUAGGACUAAAGGUCCAGGUGCAUAGGAUGGUAUUUUUCUUUGUCUAUUGUUUAGAUAGGACUAAAGGUCCAGGUACAUAGGAUGGUAUCUUUCUUUGUCUAUUGUUUAUAUAGGACUAAAGGUCCAGCGAAAGGUGAAAAAUUAGUUUGUUAGAUUUCAAAAUCAGUCAAAAGGUAAAACCAGUCUGAAAAUAAGAUGCUAUCUUAUCUAACUGGACCUUUAGUCCAGUGAAAGGUGAAAAAUGAGUUUGUUAGAUUUCAUAAUCAGUCCUAACUAAAAUCAGUCCCUACCAGAUGUUGUAACUCACAUUUUUACAAUUUAUGGCUUAAUGAAGCAUUUAUUUUUCUGAACAACUUGGAUUUCAGUGAGCAGAUUUCUUAAUAUAAGGACAUUCUAUUUUUCAUUAUAGUAUUAAGAACGCUGGAACAAAUAUUUUUUCUACUUACAUACUUGAGUUCAGUUGAAUUAUUUUAUUGGGCAUUUGCAAAAUGAUCUGGAAUAUCUUGAAAGUUAUUAUAUACAAAUCAUACAUACACAUAUAUAUGUAUAGUUCCUAGCAUUGGGCAACUAGUAUAAGGAAUGCUGCAAAAAAAAAAAACAACUUCCUUGCUAAUGGUUUCAGCAUCAUGAUAUA